RNAcentral lists this ribosomal RNA (352 nucleotides) under uncultured bacterium. RNAcentral's name for it is "bacterial SSU rRNA". It matches the Rfam family "Bacterial small subunit ribosomal RNA", at positions 28 to 410 of the family's 1533-position model. The record is from RNAcentral.
GACGAACGCUGGCGGCAGGCCUAACACAUGCAAGUCGAACGCUCCGCAAGGGGAGUGGCGCACGGGUGAGUAACACGUGGGAACCUACCUUCUGGUACGGAACAACCAAGGGAAACUUUGGCUAAGACCGUAUACGACCUCCGGGUGAAAGAUUGAUCGCCGGAAGAGGGGCCCGCGUCCGAUUAGGUAGUUGGUGAGGUAACGGCUCACCAAGCCUUCGAUCGGUAGCUGGUCUGAGAGGAUGACCAGCCACACUGGGACUGAGACACGGCCCAGACUCCUACGGGAGGCAGCAGUGGGGAAUAUUGGACAAUGGGCGCAAGCCUGAUCCAGCCAUGCCGCGUGAGUGAUG